GGCCUAUUAGCUCAGUUGGUUAGAGCGUUGUGCCAAUAACGCCAAGGUCGCAGGUUCGAAACCUACUUGGCCA
Molecule: transfer RNA, 73 nt
Filed under: Zingiber officinale
Lineage: Eukaryota; Viridiplantae; Streptophyta; Magnoliopsida; Zingiberales; Zingiberaceae
Rfam family: tRNA
About the family: Transfer RNA (tRNA) molecules are approximately 80 nucleotides in length. Their secondary structure includes four short double-helical elements and three loops (D, anti-codon, and T loops). Further hydrogen bonds mediate the characteristic L-shaped molecular structure. tRNAs have two regions of fundamental functional importance: the anti-codon, which is responsible for specific mRNA codon recognition, and the 3' end, to which the tRNAs corresponding amino acid is attached (by aminoacyl-tRNA synthetases). tRNAs cope with the degeneracy of the genetic code in two manners: having more than one tRNA (with a specific anti-codon) for a particular amino acid; and 'wobble' base-pairing, i.e. permitting non-standard base-pairing at the 3rd anti-codon position.
Source: Rfam by way of RNAcentral